This 447-nucleotide ribosomal RNA is filed under the name uncultured bacterium. RNAcentral describes it as "bacterial SSU rRNA". It matches the Rfam family "Bacterial small subunit ribosomal RNA", at positions 355 to 825 of the family's 1533-position model. The record is from RNAcentral.
UGGGGAAUAUUGGACAAUGGGCGCAAGCCUGAUCCAGCCAUGCCGCGUGAACGAUGAAGGCCUUAGGGUUGUAAAGUUCUUUUGUCAGGGAAGAUAAUGGCGGUACCUGAAGAAUAAGCACCGGCUAACUUCGUGCCAGCAGCCGCGGUAAUACGAAGGGUGCUAGCGUUGUUCGGAAUCACUGGGCGUAAAGCGCGCGUAGGCGGCGAUAUAAGUCAGAGGUGAAAGCCUGGAGCUCAACUCCAGAACUGCCUUUGAAACUAUAUUGCUAGAGUGUCGGAGGGGAUAGCGGAAUUGCUAAUGUAGAGGUGAAAUUCGUAGAUAUUAGCAGGAACACCGGUGGCGAAGGCGGCUAUCUGGACGACAACUGACGCUGAGGCGCGAAAGCGUGGGGAUCAAACAGGAUUAGAUACCCAAGUAGUCCCUGAGCGGGCUGGCAAGGCGCAU